GGCGCGCAAAUUACCCACUCCCGGCACGGGGAGGUAGUGACGAAAAAUAACGAUACGGGACUCAUCCGAGGCCCCGUAAUCGGAAUGAGUACACUUUAAAUCCUUUAACGAGGAUCAAUUGGAGGGCAAGUCUGGUGCCAGCAGCCGCGGUAAUUCCAGCUCCAAUAGCGUAUAUUAAAGUUGUUGCGGUUAAAAAGCUCGUAGUCGAAUUUGUGUCUCAUGCCGCUGGUUCAUCGUUCGCGGUGUAAACUGGCGUGACAUGGGACGUCCUGCCGGUGGGCUUAGCUCUUAACGGGGCGGCCCUAUAUAAUCCUGCCGCGUUGCUCUUAAUCGAGUGUCGAGGUGGGCCGGCUCAUUUACUUUGAACAAAUUAAAGUGCUUAAAGCAGGCUAAAAUUUUGCCUGAAUACGUGUGCAUGGAAUAAUGGAAUAGGACCUCGGUUCUAUUUUGUUGGUUUUAGGAACACGAGGUAAUGAUUAAUAGGAACGGAUGGGGGCAUUCGUAUUGCGACGUUAGAGGUGAAAUUCUUGGAUCGUCGCAAGACGAACAUAAGCGAAAGCAUUUGCCAAAAACGUUUUCAUUGAUCAAGAACGAAAGUUAGAGGUUCGAAGGCGAUCAGAUACCGCCCUAGUUCUAACCAUAAACGAUGCCAGCCAGCGAUCCGCCGAUGUUCCUCCGAUGACUCGGCGGGCAGCUUCCGGGAAACCAAAGCUUUUGGGUUCCGGGGGAAGUAUGGUUGCAAAGCUGAAACUUAAAGGAAUUGACGGAAGGGCACCACCAGGAGUGGAGCCUGCGGCUUAAUUUGACUCAACACGGGAAACCUCACCAGGCCCAGACACUGGGAGGAUUGACAGAUUGAGAGCUCUUUCUUGAUUCAGUGGGUGGUGGUGCAUGGCCGUUCUUAGUUGGUGGAGCGAUUUGUCUGGU
This 927-nucleotide ribosomal RNA is filed under the name Meloe tropicus. RNAcentral's name for it is "SSU rRNA". It matches the Rfam family "Eukaryotic small subunit ribosomal RNA", at positions 431 to 1319 of the family's 1831-position model. The record is from RNAcentral. Lineage: Eukaryota; Metazoa; Arthropoda; Insecta; Coleoptera; Meloidae.